UACGGAGGUGGCAAGCGUUGCUCGGAAUCACUGGGCGUAAAGGGCGCGUAGGCGGGGAGGUAAGUCGGGUGUGAAAUCCCUCGGCCCAACCGAGGAACUGCGCCCGAGACUGCUUCUCUUGAGUCCCGGAGAGGAAGGUGGAAUUCCCGGUGUAGCGGUGAAAUGUGUAGAGAUCGGGAGGAACACCGGUGGCGAAGGCGGCCUUCUGGACGGUGACUGACGCUGAGGAGCGAAAGCGUGGGGAUCAAACAGG
Molecule: ribosomal RNA, 253 nt
Filed under: uncultured bacterium
Lineage: Bacteria
Description: partial 16S ribosomal RNA
Rfam family: Bacterial small subunit ribosomal RNA
Source: RNAcentral